CGUUGUACUCCUCCUUGGCAGCAUCAAUCAGGCAGGGCUCAGCCCACACCCGGCUCCUAAAGACAAGAGAGCAGAGAAAGCAGAAUGGUGUUUAGAGACCAUCGCAGUGACCUGAUCCUGAAAGCACCUGUAGGAAAUUGGCCUCCGCCAAGUGAAUGUGACAAUGCAGUCAGCCACAGUGACGGAGUGCAAGAUCGGAUCACCACACAGAUCCAAGAGACCGCUCACCACACCUGAGAAACAAGAACCCAAGACAGCCUCAUGGAGGUGGAACCGUGCUACGCAGUUAUGGCUUCACUACUGAAUGCGAUCUUGCAAAAGUGAUUUAACCUCUGUGAGCCUCAGUUUCCUCAUCUGUAAAAUGAGUGAAGAUUAAAUAAGACAACACACAAAAGCCCUUCAAACAUUUAUACAGUAAAUGUUAGUUUUCUUCUCCCUACUUAGAGGAGAGAUAAGAAAGCGUUCUAAUAGUAGAAUCUGGAAUUGAAUAAAACCUUAAGAGACAAA
Molecule: long non-coding RNA, 507 nt
Filed under: Homo sapiens (human)
Lineage: Eukaryota; Metazoa; Chordata; Mammalia; Primates; Hominidae
Description: HSALNT0297450
Source: RNAcentral